CAUGUAGGCGGUCUGUCAAGUCUGAUGUGAAAGCCCGGGGCUCAACCCCGGAAGUGCAUUGGGAACUGGCAGACUUGAGUACGGGAGAGGAAAGUGGAAUUUCGAGUGUAGGGGUGAAAUCCGUAGAUAUUCGAAGGAACACCAGUGGCGAAGGCGGCUUUCUGGACCGAUACUGACGCUGAGAUGCGAAAGCGUGGGGAGCAAACAGGAUUAGAUACCCUGGUAGUCC
This 229-nucleotide ribosomal RNA is filed under the name uncultured bacterium. RNAcentral describes it as "partial 16S ribosomal RNA". It matches the Rfam family "Bacterial small subunit ribosomal RNA", at positions 568 to 796 of the family's 1533-position model. The record is from RNAcentral.